GCUGUAGAUAAUAAAGUUUGAUGCUUAUAUACAAUAAAAAUUCUCAGACAAAGCAGAACUUCUAACCUAUAACACACUAAGCAAUCUUGUAUACCUUAUUUGAAAGAGGCUAAUGUAAAGAAACAGGGUUUUCACUGAUACAGGAGACAACAUCUCUCCGGACUGGGCGAGAAACUUUCUUCUUUACAUAGGAAGAGUUCCAUUCACCACCAUCCUGAGCAUAAUAGUCCAUAGGAUAUUCCCCUUCAACCUCCACCUUAUCUCGUUGAUCACCGUCACAUUCACAUUCCUGACAAUCAUUACAACUCAAUUUAGCUGCG
RNAcentral lists this unclassified non-coding RNA (320 nucleotides) under Hevea brasiliensis (rubber tree). The record is from RNAcentral. Lineage: Eukaryota; Viridiplantae; Streptophyta; Magnoliopsida; Malpighiales; Euphorbiaceae.